Odocoileus virginianus texanus is the source of this 275-nucleotide non-coding RNA. NCBI's taxonomy places the organism in Eukaryota, Metazoa, Chordata, Mammalia, Artiodactyla, Cervidae. The record is from RefSeq and is a predicted model, not a curated record.
AUGAAUUUCAGCACCAGUUGUGUGCUGGGCAUGAUUACUGUUCAUUGAAGAAUGAAGUGAGAUCUAGGAGAUACGGUGCAGCCAGGAGUCAGACUUGAUUGAAACUUGGCCCUGCUCCUGACUUGCUGAAUGAUCCGGGGGAGACCAUCUGAGUGCCCACCCCAUGACUGACUUCAUAAGCACAAGAUGACUUCAUCCUCCAAAUCCUGAAGGUACUCGACAGGGGAAGCCAGAGCUUCUGAGUAUUCACGUGGCAAAUCUCAGGUAGGAAAGCG